Molecule: ribosomal RNA, 403 nt
Filed under: uncultured bacterium
Lineage: Bacteria
Description: bacterial SSU rRNA
Rfam family: Bacterial small subunit ribosomal RNA
Source: RNAcentral
GGGGGAUAUUGCACAAUGGAGGAAACUCUGAUGCAGCAACGCCGCGUGAGGGAAGAAGGUCUUCGGAUUGUAAACCUUUGUCCUUGGUGACGAAACAAAUGACGGUAGCCAAGGAGGAAGCUCCGGCUAACUACGUGCCAGCAGCCGCGGUAAUACGUAGGGAGCAAGCGUUGUCCGGAUUUACUGGGUGUAAAGGGUGCGUAGGCGGCUCUGCAAGUCAGGCGUGAAAUAUUUGGGCUUAACCCAUAGACUGCGUUUGAAACUGUGGGGCUUGAGUGAAGUAGAGGUAGGCGGAAUUCCCGGUGUAGCGGUGAAAUGCGUAGAGAUCGGGAGGAACACCAGUGGCGAAGGCGGCUUACUGGGCUUUAACUGACGCUGAGGCACGAAAGCAUGGGUAGCAAAC